RNAcentral lists this ribosomal RNA (450 nucleotides) under uncultured bacterium. Its description in RNAcentral is "partial 16S ribosomal RNA". It matches the Rfam family "Bacterial small subunit ribosomal RNA", at positions 354 to 796 of the family's 1533-position model. The record is from RNAcentral.
GUGGGGAAUAUUGGACAAUGGGCGAAAGCCUGAUCCAGCCAUGCCGCGUGUGUGAAGAAGGUCUUCGGAUUGUAAAGCACUUUAAGUUGGGAGGAAGGGCAGUAAGUUAAUACCUUGCUGUUUUGACGUUACCAACAGAAUAAGCACCGGCUAACUUCGUGCCAGCAGCCGCGGUAAUACGAAGGGUGCAAGCGUUAAUCGGAAUUACUGGGCGUAAAGUGCGCGUAGGUGGUUCAGCAAGUUGAAGGUGAAAUCCCCGGGCUCAACCUGGGAACUGCUUCCAAAACUACUGAGCUAGAGUACGGUAGAGAGUAGUGGAAUUUCCUGUGUAGCGGUGAAAUGCGUAGAUAUAGGAAGGAACACCAGUGGCGAAGGCGACUACCUGGACUGAUACUGACACUGAGGUGCGAAAGCGUGGGGAGCAAACAGGAUUAGAAACCCCAGUAGUCC